ACUUCUUAUAAGCUUCCAAACAAUUUCAAUAUGUACACAAAUACAUCAACAUGAACACGCAUUAAUUGAACAUUUGGCCAACCUCUCCUAUGAGCAAACAAAAACUACUAAAUUAACAAAUAACUCACAAAUAAAUACACAAACAAUACAAUGUUCAUUCAAACCUGAGUAUUUAUGUCUAAAAACAUCCAAGGAGCUUCUUUGGAGCAGUUCCAGUGGCACGAUACUUUGCUGCGAUCUCCUCUGCCUUCAGAAGAUCUUCCCCACGUUUAGCUUCAAUCAUUGCCCUUUUUUCAUCUGCUGCCUUGUGAAUUAGUGCUAUUUUAUUUUUCAUUUUUUCCACAUAAUCUGCCUUCUUCUUCUCCAAUUUUUCCUGCUCAUAUGCAAGUACGAUUUCAAAAAAACCAAUGUCAAGUUCAAUUUAAUUUUAUAACAUAACAGCCUUUUUCUGUACUGAAUAUAAUAAAUAUUUAGUAGCUCCAGUAUUAAUCUGGAUAUAGAAUUCAUUUGAGUAGGAGUCAAAUUGUAGAAGUUGGUGACUUCAACUUAGUGACUGUUCAGUUGAAUGAAAGUAAUAGACAAGCGGAGCGCUGUGAAGUCAAACAAUGGAACAGUUUGGUUAACAUGCGAAGUGACGGUUACUUCAUAUAUAAAAGGAUUCAAAGGGAACACUUUGAUAAAUGACAGAAAGUUAUAAAAGUAGCCAACUGAAAUUUAAAGCUCAAAUAUUGCUACCUCAAUUUGCUUCAACUCAGCCUCCACAGACGCUUUCCUGCUGUUCUCCCAUGACACGACGGAGGAUAGCUUUUUGUGAGCUCUGCUCAUUAGAUUUAGCAAGCUCAGUCAAGUAAUCACUAUCUUCAUCAAAAGUCAAAAACUCAAAAUCAAGCAUCUCACUAGAAUUGAAAAAAGAACAGCAGACCAUGAUUAUAGAGCUAAGGGACAUUCUUUGAGCUAAAAAUAGGGACAACCUAUAGAAGAGAGCACCACAUUUAAGAAUCAUAGCUUAAUAGUAGUGUUGAAUCUUUCAACAUGGUGCAUUUGACAAAUCAUUUUAGUAUGUGUUAAUAUCCCACAUUAAUUUUGGAUAGGGUUAGCACUCUUGCCUCUUGAUCUAACUUUUGGGCGGCUCAUUUUUUAAGAUGGUAUUAUAGUCUCCCAAACAAUAUUUAGGCCUCCCAUGUGUUUUAACAUUCUAAGUGUUUAAUCUGAGCAUGGGGUGUGUCAAUAUCCCUUAUAAGGCCUCGGGCAAUCCUUCGCCUAAUUUAGGCUUGGUCCAUUUUUUAAAGAGUAUGCACAUGCUGCUUGUAGGGCCAUCAAAAUGGAACAGAUAACUAGGAAAAAUAGAAUUAUUGUUUGGUGGGCUCAUGGACUCAUGCUCUUUAUGCUUUCUGAAGAUAAAAACCAUUCAUGGGCGCCAGUGAAGUGAUGACACAAAUGGACCAUCUAGAAACCCGACAAUUGCUAGAAAUAAUUACUAGAGAACCCUUACUUGUUCUCUGCUUUGCUCUUUUCACUCUCUUCCCAUGCUUUAAUAAGUGACAUUCUUUUCUCUGUUUCAACCCUCGCAAGCACGGCAUCUACACAAAACAGAAGCUAGUUACUUAACUACUAAUAAACAAUAGCAGACAUUUAAAAGUGGAGAAGAAAAAAGAGUGAGAAGGGAAAGAAUCGAGCUAAUGUUAACAAUAGCAGCAGCACCUCGAUUCACAGAACCCUCAGUACUUUUAGCCUCAGCAGACUCCGGAGCCUCUGCCACAAGCAGAAAAAUCAAACAUGAAGGUAAUAUGGACAAGAGUCUUCACUGUUAAGUGCCUUACUCUGUCCCACAUUUCCCAACUCCUUGGCUAUGCAAUUGCGUUCAACAACAUAAACACAUUCAAACUCAAACAUGUUUUGCAUCACCAGAAACAUGGAAAUGGAAUUAACACUGUUGAGCUAAAACAUAUUUCAUGAGUAACACAAAUCUGGUCCUUACAAUAAUUCUAUCAAGAGAUAGCCAUGUCUAAUUCUGGCUAGCUCAAAAUUUAUGACAAGUAUUCGAUAGAGGUCAGAUAGUCGCAUAAUAUUCAUGGCAAUUCCAAUAUUAAAAUGACCAUGCAAUGAUCUAAAUGUAACCCAAAAGCCAAGAUUUUAGAAGAUAGGAUGGAGAUUCAUAAAUAAUCAAACAAGUGAUUGGCCAUUUUAAUGAAUAAUAGAUAAAAAUUAGUUCCUGAAAUUAGAGAAAUCUAAACUGAAGUUUUGUUGCUUGGUAAAAUCUAAGCUUUUGAAAAGAUUGCUGAGAAAAAUACUUAAAUUUGAUAUACUUUAAUUACAACAACGUUAAAAUAGUUAAAUAAUAUUUUCAAAUUAUAUUUUUAAAAUGACAAUUAAAAUAAUGUCUUUCGAAAAAGCAAAUUUCAACCACAAUUCAAACUGAUUCUAACACCCAAAAGAAAAAAAGUUCAGAUAUUUAAGUUAGAUAGUAUUUUUGGUUAUUUUUCCUCUGAAGCUAAGUGAAGUGUGAAGAUAUAUGACAAUUUUAUAUAUCAGAAAAAAAAAAAGAAAGGGCUUUUUUUUUCCAUUUUAAAGAUUCCAAAGAAAUUCAUCCAAUGAUGAUUUAAUAAUUUGAAACAAACAGAUCCUCACAAAAUAAAUAUAAAUAAAAACAAUAUCACUGCACAGAUGCAAAAACAACAAUUUAAUAAUCUAUAUACUAUUCUGAAAUUAAAAAAUCUUUCUUCAUCUGUAUUUUGUAAUUCAAUUAUUCUGAACUUUCGAGAGAGAGAUAAAAAUUACCUAAUUGAAAAGCAAUUCUCUUAAUAUUUUCAACCCAACAAUAAAAAAAAGCAAUUCUCUCAAUUAAAUGUUUCAAAAAGAGUAAAGUAUGCUCAUCAGCCAAACAGACGUUAAAGUUAAAGCCAAGGAAGGAGAAAGCAGGUAAAAGUAACUGAUACAGAGAAAAUACUUACUUUCAACAGCAACAAGCGCUUGGGACUCAUCGCCCUUCUUUUCCGGAGGCGGAGGAAUCACAGAUUUCUCCUCAGCCACGUCUUUAGGAGGUUCAACAGCUUCAGGUACAGGAGCAGGAGGUGGAGGUUCCGAGGGGGUUUCUGAUUCCACCUUCUUAGGCUCCUCCUCGGCCAUAUUGGUUCCAAAUAUGGAAACUGAAGGUAGAAAGUAGGAAAAGAUGGAAAUAGAAAUUGCUAAAUAUUGAAAA
RNAcentral lists this unclassified non-coding RNA (3199 nucleotides) under Hevea brasiliensis (rubber tree). The record is from RNAcentral. Lineage: Eukaryota; Viridiplantae; Streptophyta; Magnoliopsida; Malpighiales; Euphorbiaceae.